This 459-nucleotide unclassified non-coding RNA is filed under the name Hevea brasiliensis (rubber tree). Lineage: Eukaryota; Viridiplantae; Streptophyta; Magnoliopsida; Malpighiales; Euphorbiaceae. The record is from RNAcentral.
AUUAAAAGAUUUAAUGUUGACAUGGUAGUAUUCAUUGCCCGAGUUCAUGUAACAUUCGCAUCUGUGUAUGAUUAUGCGCUCUAUUUUAACUCAUUUGUUUGUGCAAUUAUAUGUAUCAAAUUUCUAGUUUUAAAAUACAGCUACAAAUGAAAAAUAAUCAGAAGUGAAAAAGAAAAGUAAAUUCCCAUAUAUGAAUCAAAGUAGAAGGGCUUUGUCUUGGAAUUACCAAUGUUUGUUCUUUGUUGUAAAUGUCACUGGGGCUUUACACGCUCAUCUCGUGUAAAUCUUUUCCCCUGAUCUGUUGUUCAACUGUUACAUAUACAGUUAAUGGUAACCUUUUGACUCCCUUUCUAAGUGUUCUCAUAGUUAUGUUCUUCAACUCUUGUCUAUUUCCCUAUACGUAAUGCUCACAUCUGCUGACAAGCUUAUUCUUCUUCAAUUAUUUGUGCAGACUCCAUU